AAUCAACGCUGGCGGCGUGCCUAACACAUGCAAGUCGCACGAGAAAGUGGAGCAAUCCAUGAGUAAAGUGGCGCACGGGUGAGUAACACGUGAAUAAUCUACCUCCGAGUGGGGAAUAACUGAGAGAAAUCUUGGCUAAUACCGCAUAACACUUACGGGUCAAAGCAGCAAUGCGCUUGGAGAGGAGUUCGCGGCCGAUUAGUUAGUUGGCGGGGUAAUGGCCCACCAAGACGAUGAUCGGUAUCCGGCCUGAGAGGGCGCACGGACACACUGGAACUGAAACACGGUCCAGACUCCUACGGGAGGCAGCAGUGGGGAAGUUUUGUCGCAAUGGGGGAAACCCGUGACGCAGCAACGCCGCGUGGAGGAUGAAGUAUCUUGGUACGUAAACUACCUUUCGAUGGGGACGAUUAUGACGGUACCCAUAGAAGAAGACCCCGGCUAACUUCGUGCCAGCAGCCGCGGUAAAGUCUAGCA
This 477-nucleotide ribosomal RNA is filed under the name uncultured bacterium. Its description in RNAcentral is "bacterial SSU rRNA". It matches the Rfam family "Bacterial small subunit ribosomal RNA", at positions 32 to 531 of the family's 1533-position model. The record is from RNAcentral.